Molecule: long non-coding RNA, 555 nt
Organism: Cicer arietinum (chickpea)
Lineage: Eukaryota; Viridiplantae; Streptophyta; Magnoliopsida; Fabales; Fabaceae
Source: RefSeq, a predicted model, not a curated record
AAUUUAUAGUAUUAAUUAAAAAAAUUCUCAGUCAUCUCUAUAAAUAGCCUCUUGUAUGUAUUGCUUGUGGAUUGAUAACUUGAAAGAGAGAAUGGUUUAUAACAUCAACAGCGUCUGUUUUGUCAUUGCAUUGCUAUGCAUGGCAUCCAUUUUGAAUCCAGGAGGAGUUAUUGAUGCAACAACAACUAGUGAUAAUCCCUUUGAUAUUUGCACCACCCACGGGCCAUGUCCAAAUAUUUCUGAUGACGACUGUAGUGAUUAUUGUUUGGAAAAAUUGACGUUUUCUUUUGGUGGCAAGUGCUUUGAGAAUGAAUGUUGUUGUUCUACUGGAUAUACCUUCAUAUGAUUUUAGUUUAUAAUGUUUAAUUGAUGUUAUAUAUUUUGAAAAUUUGUCCACUUGUCCAAAAAUUAUAGUAAUUAAAGAAGUAGAAAAAGAAAAAAAAAAUGGAUAAUAAAUAAAUACAUCGAUUUUAGUUUUAAAUGUCAUUUUUAAAUUUCUCAUUUUAUUAAUUCAUGGUUGGUUUACAAGAUUAUAUCAUUCAUUUGUUUUGCCAA